UACGUAGGGCGCAAGCGUUAUCCGGAAUUAUUGGGCGUAAAGAGCUCGUAGGCGGUUUGUCGCGUCUGCCGUGAAAGUCCGGGGCUCAACUCCGGAUCUGCGGUGGGUACGGGCAGACUAGAGUGAUGUAGGGGAGACUGGAAUUCCUGGUGUAGCGGUGAAAUGCGUAGAUAUCGGGAGGAACACCAGUGGCGAAGGCGACUUCUUGGCCUGUUCUUGACGCUGAGGCGCGAAAGCUGGGGGAGCAAACGGG
Molecule: ribosomal RNA, 253 nt
Filed under: uncultured bacterium
Lineage: Bacteria
Description: partial 16S ribosomal RNA
Rfam family: Bacterial small subunit ribosomal RNA
Source: RNAcentral